UGUGGGAGCUGGCUUGCCUGCGAUAGCAUCAACUCGGUAUGACAGACAUACCGAGUUGAUGCUAUCGCAGGCAAGCCGGCUCCCACA
RNAcentral lists this unclassified non-coding RNA (87 nucleotides) under Pseudomonas gessardii. The record is from RNAcentral. Lineage: Bacteria; Pseudomonadati; Pseudomonadota; Gammaproteobacteria; Pseudomonadales; Pseudomonadaceae.